AUGGAGGCCUCAAGGGCUCGCAAAGGGCUUUGCCCCUCUCCUGGCCAUGUGUCCCCAGCAGCUGGCUGCAGCUGUAGGAGCAGCUUCCCAGCUUCGACUGUGGGGUGGCUUCUCCUCCAAGGAGCCCUCGCCCCACACGUCAUGGGGAACCCAGUCCCACCAAGACCUCCAGAGUUCUGGAGUGUGGGUGCCUCACAAAAGACAGGUUUCCCUUAUCCAUGGAAACACUGCCGCCACCAAACGCUGGUGUAUCCCAUCGUGCAUGUACCAAGGCUCCUGUCCUGGGAGGGGACACCCAGGUCCCAUCUGGCUGUUGGCUGCUGGUGGUGGGCUGUCGUCAUCUCCAGCCUGCAUGGUCCCACCAAGCUGAGGGGUGCCUGGGUCACCAUGGCGGACGCGAUGAGGAAACCCGUGCACUCGAAGCCUCCGGUGUCAAUGGGCAUGUACAGGAGUUCGUACAAGAGGGACUACAGGUGGUGCGAGGAGAACCAGCCGACCUCCGAGGUGUACACGCAGAAGCUGAAGUUUGCCGAUUCCCAGCUGAAAGCCAAGGAGUUCUCCGUGCCUGAGGAACCACGGGUGAUGACAUACUGCGACAACGUCGACGGGGAAGGAAGAGGAGUCACCCCCGGGCCUGCGGCUGUGCGAGGGAGGAAGCCAGAAGGCAGUGCCUCCAGUCCCCGAGCAUUUCAGCAGGCUCAAGAAGAGCAGCGAAAGCGCUUCGGUUCAGCCCUUCCCCUUGCAGAAAGCUACCUCCCGAGGCCCUACCCUGCCGCCGAGCUGACAGCAACCCGGGCGGAGAGAUUGGAGAGGCCGCAGGCUCUCAGCGAGCUGGAAAACGAGCUGCCUCCUUCCCAGCGCCUUCUGGCUGCUGCUCGAGCCCCCGGAGCAGCAGGGAUGUUGCGGCGCAGGCAAAAGCUGGAUCCGGGCUGGGGCACCUACCAGCACUUCAUGCUGGAAACGGGCCGGGCAAAGCAACUCGAGGCUCAGCAGAACAAGAACAUGCUCCUGGGCUCCUCUGUUUUGGCGGAAGAGUGCUUUGACCUUGACCGGAGAAGUACCUACACCACGGACUUCCAGCGCUGGCCUGCAGCCCGCGAUGGAUGCUGCAAAGCAAAUAAGAAUCUGUCGCACGUUUUCCCUGAAGACGAGCACUUCCAGCAGAACCACUGGGUAUCCGAGUACAAGGACAACUACAGCAUUUUCUUGCAUAGGCUGAACCGGGCGGCUCAAGAGCCCACCACGGGGCUGUGCUCUGCCUUGAAGCCCCGCAGGCUGUCCUCCCAGACUGGAAUUGCACUGGGCACAGCCCCGUAAGCCACACUCCUUGGCUCUCCAAACUCUGUGAUACUGUCCACCGGAGACCCUGGAAGCCUGGAAACCUCUCUUCCAAAGCCCCCAUUACUGCAUACUUUUUAAGGGUUCAGCAGAAACUUUUUUACACAAAUAUCUUCACUGAAAUCUCACAAGAAACCUGAGCUUUUAUUGUUGUCAGAAAAAGGGAUUUUUUGAACGAUGCAGGUUACAGAGCUAAAGCCACCCAGCCAGUUUCAAUUCAUAUACUCUAAAUAAAAAUUGCCAGUAAACUUUGCCUUACUGCA
Molecule: long non-coding RNA, 1601 nt
Organism: Anser brachyrhynchus (Pink-footed goose)
Lineage: Eukaryota; Metazoa; Chordata; Aves; Anseriformes; Anatidae
Source: Ensembl